RNAcentral lists this ribosomal RNA (325 nucleotides) under uncultured bacterium. Its description in RNAcentral is "bacterial SSU rRNA". It matches the Rfam family "Bacterial small subunit ribosomal RNA", at positions 56 to 392 of the family's 1533-position model. The record is from RNAcentral.
UGCAAGUCGACGGGCCUUUAGGGGCAAGUGGCGGACGGGUGAGUAACGCGUGAGAAUGUGCCUUGAGGAUGGGGAUAACAAUAGGAAACUAAUGCUAAGACCCAAUAUGCCCUACGGGGUGAAAAAUGAAAAUUGCCUGAAGAGGAGCUCGCGUCUGAUUAGCUAGUUGGGGUGGUAAAAGCGCACCAAGGCGACGAUCAGUAGCUGGUCUGAGAGGAUGAGCAGCCACACUGGGACUGAGACACGGCCCAGACUCCUACGGGAGGCAGCAGUGGGGAAUAUUGGACAAUGGGCGAAAGCCUGAUCCAGCAGCCGCGGUAAUACG